Trichobilharzia regenti is the source of this 46-nucleotide non-coding RNA. NCBI's taxonomy places the organism in Eukaryota, Metazoa, Platyhelminthes, Trematoda, Strigeidida, Schistosomatidae. The record is from Rfam.
GUACCGCUGAAGAGUCCCAAACUAGGACGAAACAGCUGUCAAGCAC